RNAcentral lists this ribosomal RNA (414 nucleotides) under Sicarius rupestris. RNAcentral describes it as "partial 16S ribosomal RNA". Lineage: Eukaryota; Metazoa; Arthropoda; Arachnida; Araneae; Sicariidae. The record is from RNAcentral.
CACUUUCAGCCUUUUAUUGAAAGCACCUGGUGCUCAGUGUCAUAUAAACAGCCGCAAAUAUUUUGUGCUAAGGUAGCAUAAUAACCUGCCUUUUAAUUAGAGGAUCGCAUAAAAGGAGACACGCCUCAUAAAUUUUCUAAAAACUGCUUUUAAUUAACUUCACCUAAGAGUAAAAAGGCUCUUAUUUAAAAGAAGGACAACACAACCCUGACGAACUUAACACUAUUUAGCUGGGGCGGCUAACAGUUAAAAUCUUAGUAACCACCUAGAUAACGACCCAAUCAAUAUUGAAUUACAACAAAGUUGCCGCAGGGAUAACAGCGCUAUAGAAUUUCAGAGACCAUAUCCAAAAUUCUACCUCCGACCUCGAUGUUGAAUAAUUAAGCUAUACUAAGCAAAAAGAGUAUAAGGCAG